This is a transfer RNA of Halomicrobium mukohataei DSM 12286, 74 nucleotides long. It matches the Rfam family "tRNA". Rfam says of the family: Transfer RNA (tRNA) molecules are approximately 80 nucleotides in length. Their secondary structure includes four short double-helical elements and three loops (D, anti-codon, and T loops). The record is from Rfam. Lineage: Archaea; Methanobacteriati; Methanobacteriota; Halobacteria; Halobacteriales; Haloarculaceae.
GGGCCGGUAGCUCAGUCUGGCAGAGCGACGGCCUCUUAAGCCGUCGGUCGAGGGUUCAAAUCCCUUCCGGCCCG